Molecule: ribosomal RNA, 253 nt
Filed under: uncultured bacterium
Lineage: Bacteria
Description: partial 16S ribosomal RNA
Rfam family: Bacterial small subunit ribosomal RNA
Source: RNAcentral
UACAGAGGGGGCGAGCGUUGUUCGGAAUUACUGGGCGUAAAGGGCGCGUAGGCGGCCUUCUAAGUCGAACGUGAAAUCCCCGGGCUCAACCCGGGAACUGCGUCCGAUACUGGGAGGCUUGAAUCCGGGAGAGGGAUGUGGAAUUCCAGGUGUAGCGGUGAAAUGCGUAGAUAUCUGGAGGAACACCGGUGGCGAAGGCGGCAUCCUGGACCGGUAUUGACGCUGAGGCGCGAAAGCCAGGGGAGCAAACAGG